This is a non-coding RNA of Pimephales promelas (fathead minnow), 195 nucleotides long. Lineage: Eukaryota; Metazoa; Chordata; Actinopteri; Cypriniformes; Leuciscidae. The record is from RefSeq and is a predicted model, not a curated record.
CAUCCUGCGAGUAACCGAACAUGGACAAAUUUCACCAGAUGUAAUUUGCACACCACUGAAGGACGAAGGACGGCAAUGAACUUGUUCUACUUAGCAUUAAUAGGUCAUGGGCUCUCUUUGACAUCUUUGUUCAUCUCACUAGGCAUAUUCUUCCAUUUCAAGAGUUUGAGCUGUCAGAGAAUUACCCUGCACAAA